Long non-coding RNA from Triplophysa rosa, 1071 nucleotides. RefSeq lists it as uncharacterized. NCBI's taxonomy places the organism in Eukaryota, Metazoa, Chordata, Actinopteri, Cypriniformes, Nemacheilidae. The transcript has 4 exons. The record is from RefSeq and is a predicted model, not a curated record.
GUGGAAACGCUGGAGCUGGCAGGUCGGUGAGGACGGAACACGCUUACAGCUCAUUCAAGUGCCACUGGUCUUGCAGUAUUUCAUCUUUUCCAAACAACCGAGUAAAUUUACAGCUCAUUCAAGUGCCACUGGUCUGUUUUUGGAGAAUUUCAUCUUUAAGGUGCUGUGAGAAAGAGCCAUGUCUCCCGUGCCGCCACUGAUGAUGACAUUACAAAACACGUAAUACGGUGGUUCAACUUGGCAGCAGAUAGGGGAAACUCAAGGAGCCGUCCCACUGUCAGCAUCCAACAGUAGCGUUUCGGUGUUUCACAGUUAACUUCUGUGUUUUGAAGUGUUCGUUUAACAGUUAAGUAGUAACAGUUGAGAUAAAGUUUACUACUUUAAAUAGUUUUGUUUCUAUUCAUCUUCAAAAAACCCAGUUUCCACACAAAAAAAUAAGCAGUGCAACAUUAAUAAGAAUAAAUGUUUCUUGAGCUACAUUAAAAAAGUGUUCUUUUUCAUUAAAUAAAAAAUGUUCUUUGGACAAUUUAUGGUUGCAUUUCAUUUUCUGUAAUACCUAUUAAUUGUAUACAUAAAUAAUUGUUACUGGCUAAAAUGGCUGAAUUUUGAUUUACAAGUUUUGAAUGAUUUCAUCAUGUUUUAUUAAUAAAGGCAGGCAUAUUAAAUAUUAUAGAGCAAUCCAGUCUAUCCAAUGUCGGUCCAUUAGAUUUGAAAUAUUUCUUUAGCUAGUUUUGGCCAGAAUACUAGUUUUAAAUGAGGGAUCUGAAAGGUAUCCAGACAGAAUGACCAGAUCGGAUCCGUGGCGGAUCAGCUGCUUUAUAAACGGGUCCUGAUCGGAUCCGUGGCGGAUCAGCUGCUUUAUCAACGGGUCCUGAUCGGAUCCGUGGCGGAUCAGCUGCUUUAUAAACGGGUCCUGAUCGGAUCCGUGGCGGAUCAGCUGCUUUAUCAGCGGAUACAGGGCGGGUCUGCCCCAGAUCUGGUCCGGAUCCGCAAUCCUUAUUUGUUCCGGAUCCGCUGCGCUGUGCAAGUGGACUCCGUUCCGGACCCGUUUUGCGCAUCCGUUCUGGAGCU